Molecule: non-coding RNA, 426 nt
Filed under: Schistosoma margrebowiei
Lineage: Eukaryota; Metazoa; Platyhelminthes; Trematoda; Strigeidida; Schistosomatidae
Description: Eukaryotic large subunit ribosomal RNA
Rfam family: Eukaryotic large subunit ribosomal RNA
Source: Rfam by way of RNAcentral
UGACCUCGGAUCAGACGUGAUUACCCGCUGAACUUAAGCAUAUCAAUAAGCGGAGGAAAAGAGACUAACGAGGAUUCCCCUAGUAACUGCGAGUGAACAUGGAUUAGCCCAACAUCGAAACCUGCGGUUAAUUGAUCGUGAGGUAAUGUGGUUUUUAGUUUGGCUUCAGGCAUUACUGCUCUACCCCAGGUCCAGCAAUGAGUACGACUAGUUGUGAUAAUUAUAAUUAUAAUUAAUGGUUGAAUCAAUGUUACGUAAUAGGAAAUAAGUGAAUGAUUAGAAAAAUAUAGACAUUGAAAUAACAUUCAUAAAAUCUAUAAGAUUAUAUUAUAAGAAGUGUUCAGAUAAUUGGGUCGCGAAGCGUGAAGUUGGAGAAAAAUAAACGAAGAAAGAGUAUAGAGAAUAAUAAUGAAUAAAAUCGUUUAU